This 330-nucleotide small nuclear RNA is filed under the name Ursus maritimus (polar bear). RNAcentral's name for it is "7SK RNA (ENSUMAG00000015947.1)". It matches the Rfam family "7SK RNA". From Rfam's summary of the family: 7SK was discovered as an abundant small nuclear RNA in the mid-70s but a possible function has only recently been suggested. Two independent studies have found that 7SK RNA binds the CDK9/cyclin T complex (known as elongation factor P-TEFb). The record is from RNAcentral. Lineage: Eukaryota; Metazoa; Chordata; Mammalia; Carnivora; Ursidae.
GGAUGUGAGGGCGAUCCGGCUGGGACAUCUGUCACCCCAUUGAUCGCCAGGGUUGAUUCGGCUGAUCUGGCUGGCUAGGCGGGUGUCCCCUUCCUCCCUCACCGCUCCAUGUGCGUCCCUCCCGAAGCUGCGCGCUCGGUGAAGAGGACGACCUUCCCCGAUAGAGGAGGACCGUUCUUCGGUCAAGGGUAUACGAGUAGCUGCGCUCCCCUGCUAGAACCUCCAAACAAGCUCUCAAGGUCCAUUUGUAGGAGAACGUAGGGUAGUCAAGCUUCCAAGACUCCAGACACAUCCAAAUGAGGCGCUGUACGUGGCAGUCUGCCUUUCUUU